This 305-nucleotide ribosomal RNA is filed under the name uncultured bacterium. Its description in RNAcentral is "bacterial SSU rRNA". It matches the Rfam family "Bacterial small subunit ribosomal RNA", at positions 337 to 659 of the family's 1533-position model. The record is from RNAcentral.
CCCUAUGGGGCGCAGCAGUGGGGAAUAUUGGGCAAUGGGCGCAAGCCUGACCCAGCAACGCCGCGUGUGGGAAGACGGUCCUCUGGAUUGUAAACCACUGUCCCCAGGGACGAAGAAGACGGUACCUGGGGAGGAAGCUCCGGCUAACUACGUGCCAGCAGCCGCGGUAAUACGUAGGGAGCAAGCGUUGUCCGGAAUUACUGGGUGUAAAGGGAGCGUAGGCGGGAUGGCAAGUUGGGUGUUAAAUCUACCGGCUCAACUGGUAGUCGCACUCAAAACUGCUAUUCUUGAGUGAAGUAGAGGCA